RNAcentral lists this ribosomal RNA (442 nucleotides) under uncultured bacterium. RNAcentral describes it as "partial 16S ribosomal RNA". It matches the Rfam family "Bacterial small subunit ribosomal RNA", at positions 338 to 795 of the family's 1533-position model. The record is from RNAcentral.
CCUACGGGUGGCAGCAGUGGGGAAUAUUGGGCAAUGGGCGCAAGCCUGACCCAGCAACGCCGCGUGAAGGAUGAAGGCUUUCGGGUUGUAAACUUCUUUUGUCAGGGAAGAGUAGAAUGCCGUACCUUUCGAAUAAACCCCGGCUAACUACGUGCCAGCAGCCGGGGUAAUACGGAGGGGGCAAGCGUUGUCCGGAUUUACUGGGUGUAACGGGCGUGUAGCCGGGUUGACAAGUCAGUUGUGAAAUCCUGCGGCUUAACCGGAGAACUGCAUUUGAAACUGGUGAUCUUGAGUACUGGAGAGGCAGACGGAAUUCCUAGUGUAGCGGUGAAAUGCGUAGAUAUUAGGAGGAACACCAGUGGCGAAGGCGGUCUGCUGGACAGCAACUGACGGUGAGGCACGAAAGCGUGGGGAGCAAACAGGAUUAGAUACCCGGGUAGUC